AGGUCCCACCAUCGGAAGCGUGCUAACGACAACCAGCCUCCGCGAAAUUAUACCUAGCGGUGGUCCCGUGUGGGAAAGCGGUGGAAGAGGCGUGUGGGGGGGUAGUUUUUAGUACGUAGGCGCCAUGAAUGGCGAAUCGUGAAUGCUGCUACUAAGAACCAGCAGUAUCUCUUGAAAAAUUUCUACCUCCAGCGCGC
Molecule: non-coding RNA, 197 nt
Organism: Glossina austeni
Lineage: Eukaryota; Metazoa; Arthropoda; Insecta; Diptera; Glossinidae
Source: Rfam